RNAcentral lists this ribosomal RNA (253 nucleotides) under uncultured bacterium. Its description in RNAcentral is "partial 16S ribosomal RNA". It matches the Rfam family "Bacterial small subunit ribosomal RNA", at positions 524 to 776 of the family's 1533-position model. The record is from RNAcentral.
UACGUAGGGUGCAAGCGUUAAUCGGAAUUACUGGACGUAAAGCGUGCGCAGGCGGUUUUGUAAGUCAGAUGUGAAAUCCCCGGGCUUAACCUGGGAACUGCGUUUGAAACUACAAGGCUAGAGUGUGGCAGAGGGGGGUGGAAUUCCACGUGUAGCAGUGAAAUGCGUAGAGAUGUGGAGGAAUACCGAUGGCGAAGGCAGCCCCCUGGGAUAACACUGACGCUCAUGCACGAAAGCGUGGGGAGCAAACAGG